AGUGAUUGCAUCAGUCAGUGCUUUGCAAUUGUGGGCUACCCGCAGAAGCUGGCCUGGCUGUCUCUAGCUCUGUCGCUUUUGCCUUUUUUUCCUUUCCAGGUAGCCUGCCCGCUCUGACCGUCUCUGGCCUCCCUCAAACCCAGACAGCUGCUGCAAGCUUUCCAUCCUCUUCAGCAGAAACACACUGUGACUCAAUUCUCUCCCUCACCUACCUUAUUGCCUUUGAACCAAGUGGGGAAAACUGAGGUACAAUUGUUCCCAAUUUGCUAAAGGACACCUAACAAAUCUCUGUCAGAGAUAGCAAUGGAACCCACUUGUGUGUCUCCACCAGAAGACUCUGAAAGACUGAGGCUUGCUCAUGUCUGAGGGGCACAAGCUGUACUGGGCCAUGCCAGGGCCGGACAUUGUGCUUUGAGGGAUACAAAGCUUCUGGGCUCUUUUGACCUUAUGGGACCGUACAGCUAUCUGACAUUACACCCAAGGGUCGAGUACCAUUUCUUCUCCCAUGAUGUAUGCAGCUUUAUUCCCCACCUCAUGGGGAGUCAUGGGUGACUUGAAAUUUUAGCUUUGUUCAACCUUUACAUUUAAUGAGACUAAAUUUUGAAACUGUAGUUGAUCCCUAUGCAAUGGAAGAGAUCUUACACUUUAAAUUCUAUGCACAGAUUAGCCAUACCAUGGUAUUUUCUACACAAUAAGCAUGUUUAUACACAGCUUUGCAAUUGUUUUAGCAACAAGCCUUGAAUCCCAUGAAUUGUUGUACAUUACUGUUCUACAGACCACCUGGGUGGGGGAAAGCAAUGUAGUUACUUUGUAGUUUUGAAGUGACUGGAAAUUACUUUUGAAGGAGCUAUUCAAAGUUGGGUUGACUUUUCAAUCCUCUGCCUGGGGACAUAAGAACAUUUCUGUACUUUUUUUUUUUUUCAACUGNNNNNNNNNNNNNNNNNNNNNNNNNNNNNNNNNNNNNUUCCUGCCCUUCUCUGCCUUUGCUACAAUGGGGGAGGGUAGCUGGUGCUUUAUGGGAGUCACCAAUAACAAAGAGAGACAUGAAUGCUAAUUUUGCCAGUUCUCAGAGUUGGUCAAAGAAGGUGUUUUAA
RNAcentral lists this long non-coding RNA (1094 nucleotides) under Struthio camelus australis. RNAcentral's name for it is "lncRNA (ENSSCUG00000002666.1)". The record is from RNAcentral. Lineage: Eukaryota; Metazoa; Chordata; Aves; Struthioniformes; Struthionidae.